RNAcentral lists this ribosomal RNA (502 nucleotides) under uncultured bacterium. RNAcentral describes it as "partial 16S ribosomal RNA". It matches the Rfam family "Bacterial small subunit ribosomal RNA", at positions 899 to 1397 of the family's 1533-position model. The record is from RNAcentral.
ACUCAAAUGAAUUGACGGGGGUCCGCACAAGCGGUGGAACAUGUGGUUUAAUUCGAUACUACGCGAGGAACCUUACCUGGGUUUGACAUGUUUUUGACAGUCGUGGAAACACGAUCUUCCAAGUUUACUUGGACAAUUGCACAGGUGCUGCAUGGUCGUCGUCAGCUCGUGUCGUGAGAUGUUUGGUUAAGUCCUCUAACGAGCGCAACUCUUGCUGUCAGUUGCUAUCGCUUCGGCGAGCACUCUGGCGGGACUGCCCGGGAAACCGGGAGGAAGGUGGGAAUGACGUCAGAUCAUCAUGGUCCUUAUACCCAGGGCUACACACGUGUUACAAUGGCCGGUACAGAGGGUUGCUAUCCCGCGAGGGUGUGCCAAUCUCAUAAAGCCGGUCUAAGUUCGGAUUGAGGUCUGCAACUCGACCUCAUGAAGUUGAAAUCGCUAGUAAUCGCGCAUCAGAUACGGCGCGGUGAAUACGUUCUCGGACCUUGUACACACCGCCCGU